GCCAACGACUUGUGACGCAAUGAUGCAUGGAAUGGAGAGUGUUGUGGUGAACAAAAUGAAGACGGUGUGAAUAUGUUCAUGUUCAGGUGCAACUAUGAAGGAUGCAUAAUCAUGAGCAUAUUCGAAAGCUUCUUCGUAGGUUGAAAGCCGAAACCCAUCAAAUAUGUCAAGCUCCUGGGUAUUUCCUAGAGCUCUUUUCUAUUAAUGGUUUCUACUACAAUGGUUAAUUGUUAAUGGUAUUAGGUUGUUCCGAACUAAAAACAUGUCCGCACUCAAGGGUGCUGACUUUUCCAUUAAAGUGUUCGAUAAACAUGCUUGAAGGUGACACUGGAUGCUCAAUAUGGCCGUCAAGUCUGUUUCUGUCCGAGCUAAUACUUUCUCAUCCAGAGUUAUUUUCUAAUAAAUUAUGCUUUGAGAUUGGCUCAGGAGUUGGCU
Vicia villosa (hairy vetch) is the source of this 435-nucleotide long non-coding RNA. RefSeq lists it as uncharacterized. Lineage: Eukaryota; Viridiplantae; Streptophyta; Magnoliopsida; Fabales; Fabaceae. The transcript has 4 exons. The record is from RefSeq and is a predicted model, not a curated record.